AUUUAUAAUACUUUAAGACAAGUUUUCAAUGAUGAGAUCUUACGAUAGGGACAUCUGAUGUCUAUGACUGAUUUAUCUUGAUAGUAGAACUGAUUAUACCAUUUCAAAGGUCUUCUGCAAACUCCUAUUUUAGAAGAUACUCCAAUAAUUCUUAAUCUAUUGUUAUUUCAGAGAAACUGGACAUUUCUAAUAGAAUGACUACAAAAAGAGGAUUUUCAAACAUUGUUUAUUCUUUCAAAUAAGACCCCUGACCACUGUCUUAGAUUGUCCAUUUGCCUUGGUUGUACGAUGAGGAAAAAAGGAUCUUCUGACGAUUUUAUUGCUUAAAAUCAAAAUUUUAUUUAAUUACCGUUAAUAAAUAAACUAAAUUUACUCUAAAAAAUAUUGUUUUAAUGCAAAUAAAUUUUCUUAAAAUACAAAUUUAUCGAAGCUUACAGAUGGAAUAAAUUAUGUGAUAUGAAUCAAAUUGUUUCGACCUUAUAAACAAAACAGGGUUGUAUAAUUGGGUCAAAGUCAAGUAAUAAAAACUAGUCUUUCCAAAAACUAGAACUUAUAUUUCCAAAACAAUAAACAAUUUUCCAAAAUAUUACAAUAUAUUUAAGAUAUUGAAACGAAGUAUGAGCGACUUUUUGUUCUGUUUAUUUUACUCGUACUUCCGGCUGAGUACUAAUACUCAUUAAGAGAAUGCUACCGGUGUUGGCGGAUUACGGAUCUCCAAAUGAUAUGUUUCAACAGGGUCUGGGAUGGUUUCUUUUUUCGAAUAUAUUGUCAAACUUUGUCAUGUGCAUACUAGUUGAUCCGGCCAUCGAUUCGAAGCGAAUGCGAAAUCAAUUGCAAAGCACAGUAAGGACUGGCACAGGUGCGACGAGUGCAUGAUUUGGGAUCCACCUGGAUCAAAGCACUGGAAGUCUUGCGAUAUUUGUGUCCUAAAGCGAGAUCAUGUAUCUUUUCCGGUUGCUGCAUCGGCCAUGAAAACUGU
This is a long non-coding RNA of Drosophila gunungcola (fruit fly), 979 nucleotides long. RefSeq lists it as uncharacterized. NCBI's taxonomy places the organism in Eukaryota, Metazoa, Arthropoda, Insecta, Diptera, Drosophilidae. The transcript is spliced from 3 exons. The record is from RefSeq and is a predicted model, not a curated record.